RNAcentral lists this long non-coding RNA (5095 nucleotides) under Salmo salar (Atlantic salmon). Its description in RNAcentral is "lncRNA (ENSSSAG00000084870.1)". The record is from RNAcentral. Lineage: Eukaryota; Metazoa; Chordata; Actinopteri; Salmoniformes; Salmonidae.
UUUGGGAAAAAAACAGUCAUUUUUUUAUUCAGCAAAAUUGAAAUUAAUUCAAUACUAAGGCUAGGUUCAUUUCACGAGGUCAAUGACAAUACUGUAAAUCAAACUGAAGUGACACAGAGUGCAGCGCAGCUUCGCUGACGGCUAUGCUGUUCAGGACUUCUGUUACGACUUCUCUAUAGAGCACCAACUGACUGCUACCCCUUUCACAGAAACAAGAGUACUAAACUUGGUAACAAAUCACUUGCCAUCUACUAGGCCUACUACUGCUGGCUGGCUAGCUGGCUGAGGCUUGACAACGAUGCCAGAGGGCAGAGGAAGAAUAAGCUACAGUAUCAUCUAACUUCACCUGAGCAGUAACUAGUCUUGAUCAGACUGGAGUCCAUAACACUUCCCCUGGAAUGAUCACGUUGUCAGACAAAUAGACUCCUCCCUCACUAGCCUAUUUCUCCCCCAGCCCAGAGACGUGGCUGGGAAUGGACAGACAAACAGAUAGACUAGACUGGUGUUGAUAAGGCUGCUCCAUUUUGGUUCCCUCUCACAGCAGUUUUUACGCGAGUCUCCCUCCCAUAAUUGCACUUUAACCUGGACAGAGGCGGGGCACUUCACUCCCUGGGUGGAACAGGGGGUGGGGUUCGGCGGGGCCACACCGCUUAGGUGUAGAAAGUAGUCUCCGCCCCCUCAGCCCCGGCCUCUGGCUCCACCUUCACGGCCAGAUGAGGCUUCUUGCGGAGCCGCUUGGCUUCGUUCUGCAGCUUCUGGCGGAUGUAGCCCUUGAUCUCCGAGUCUGUCUUCCCUGGGAAGUAGUGCUGCACCGCCCCUGUGGGUGAGAGGUCAAAGAUCAGAAACCUAUAGAGAUGUAAAGUUAUCAUUACUUUGGAAAUAACCCGUUUUUGCAUGGACAUUGCCAUUGAGGGGUUCCACCAUUUUAAAGGAGUCAACUGGGUGGGGAUUCCUAUGGGUUGGGAGCGAUCAGCCAAUGAUCAGAGCAUUGGCAAAUCAAAUCAAAUCAAAAUGCAUUUGUCACAUGCGCCGAAUAAAACAACGAAGAGGCGACUCCGGGAUGCUGACCUUCUAGGCAGAGUUGCAAAGAAAAAGCCAUAUCUCAGACUGGCCAAUAAAAAUAAAAAAUUAAGAUGGGCAAAAGAACACAGACACUGGACAGAGAAACUCUGCCUAGAAGGCCAGCAUCCCGGAGUCGCCCCUUCACUGUUGACGUUGAGACUGGUCUUUUGCGGGUACUAUUUAAUGAAGCUGCCAGUUGAGGACUUGUGAGGUGUCUGUUUCUCAAACUAGACACUCUAAUGUACUUGUCCUCUUGCUCAGUUGUGCACCGGGGCCUCCCUCUCCUCUUUCUAUUCUGGUUGGAGCCAGUUUGCGCUGUUCUGUGAAGGGAGUAGUACACAGUGUUGUACGAGAUCUUCAGUUUCUUGGCAAUUUCUCGCAUGGAAUAGCCUUCAUUUCUUAGAACAAGAAGGCUGACGAGUUUCAGAAGAAAUGUAUUUGUUUCUGGCCAUUUUGAGUCUGUAAUCGAACCCACAAAUGCUGAUGCUCCAGAUACUCAACUAGUCUAAAGAAGGCCAGUUGUAUUGCUUCUUUAAUUAGCACAACAGUUUUCAGCUGUGCUAACAUAAUUGCAAAAGGGUUUUCUAAUGAUCAAUCAGCCUUUUAAAAUGAUCGACUUGGAUUAGCUAACACAACGUGCCAUUGGAACAGUGAUGGUUGCUGAUAAUGGGCCUCUGUACGCCUUAGUAGAUAUUCCAUUAAGAAUCUGCCAUUUCCAGCUACAAUAGUCAUUUACAACAUUAACAAUGUCUACACUGUAUUUCUGAUCAAUUUGAUGGAUAAAAAAAAUAUUUUAAUGGAUAAAAAAUUGCUUUUCUUUCAAAAACAAGGACAUUUCUAAGUGACCCCAAACUUUUGAAUGGUAGUGUACAUACAGGUGGUACUGGUACUGAGUCAAUGUGCGGGGAUACAGGUUAGUCGAGGUAAUUUGUAAAGUGACUAUGCAUAGAUAAUAAACAGCGAGUAGCAGCAGUGUAAAAACAGAGAGGGGGGGUCAAUGUAAAUAGUCUGGGUGGCCAUUUGAUUAAUUGUUCAGUUGUCUUAUGGAUUGGGGGUAGAAGCUGUUAAGGAGCCUUUUGGUCCUAGACUUGGCGCUCCGGUACCGCUUUCCGUGCGGUAGCAGAGAAAACAGUCUAUGACUUGGGUGACUAGAGUCUUUGACAGUUUUUUGGGCCUUCCUCUGACACCAUCUAGUAUAUAGGUCAUGGAUGUCAGGAAGAUUGGCACGAGUGAAAUACUGGGCCGUACGCAUUACCCUCUGUAGCGCCUUACGGUCGGAUGCCGAGCAGUUGCUAUACCAGGCGGUGAUGCAACCGGUCAGGAUACUCUCGAUGGUGCAGAUGUAGAACUUUUUAAGGAUCUGGGGACCCAUGCCAAAUCUUUUUAUUCUCCUGUGGGGGAAAGGUGUUGAGUACCCUCUUCACAACUGUAUUGGUGUAUUUGGACCAUGAUAGUUUGUUGGUGAUGUGGACACCAAGGAACUUGAAACUCUCGACCCGCUCCACUUCAACCCUGUCGAUGUUAAUGGGGGCCUGUUCGGCCCUCCUUUUCCUACAGUCCACGAUCAUCUCCUUUGUCUUGCUCACAUUGAGGGAGAGGUUGUUGUCCUGGCACCACACUGCCAGGUCUCUGACCUCCUCCCUAUACGCUGUCUCAUCGUUGUCGGUGAUCAGGCCUACCACUGUUGUGUCAUCAGCAAACUUAGUGAUGGUGUUGGAGUCCUGCUUGGCCACGCAGUCGUGGGUGAUCAGGGAGUACAGGAGGGGACUAAGCAUGCACCUCUGAGGGGCCCAGGGUUGAGGAUCAGCGUGGCAGAUGUGUUGUUGCCUGCUCUUACUACCUGGGGCCAGCCGGUCAGGAAGUCCAGGAUCCAGUUGCAGAGGGAGGUGUUUAGUCUCAGGGUCCUUAGCUUGGUGAUAAGCUUUGUGGGCACGAUGGUGUCUUCGUCAGCAAAUCGUUUUGCCUAGUUUGUAAAUGGCUUUAAGCUGUAUCUUGCGGGCACAAUAAAUGAAUGAUAAGAUUUGGUUUAAGACUCCAGCACUGCAGGUGGCGAUAAAUCACCAAUAUUAGCUUGACACUUUUUUUCAAACAUCAAACACAUCAAAAUCUGUAAAAUGGAGAGAGCCUCAAUGGCGCUGCCCAUGUUGUCAGAUGCCAUAACGGCACAGAUACAAAGUUGAGAUCUCUAUACAUCUCUAUGCCUGUACCAAGAUUAUCGCGGUCUAUAAACGACAGUUCGAGUCCCAGGCAAUGGCUGAAGUCAAACGGAAAUAACAACACUGUUACAGUAGUCAUUUAGCCGACGCUCUUAUCCAGAUCGACUUACAGUCACUGCUUUCACAUAACUUUAAUAGUUGAUGUGAAAAGUAUUUACACUGUAGCACGAGGUCAGGGCGGGAAGUGUGACAUGUUCAACUGCGGUAUGGGGGUGUGCCUAGCUGUUAUGAAUGUUUGUGUCUAGCUUUUAUGGGGGGGUGUGUCUAGCUGUCUCAGGCUGCAGUACAGACGAGACCUUACUCAGUAUUGCCUGGAUCUCGUCUGCAGGCAGGGCAGGCUUGGUUUGGCUGCCCAGCACCCGUUCAGCACCCCUGGAGAGGCCAGCAGGGCCGACGUUGUCAUGGCACCACUCCUCACCAGGAUCUCAGGCAUGCUGGGAGAUGUAGUUCUGCGGUCCGUGCUGCUCGACCACACCUCCGUCCUCUCAAUCAGGGCCUCCAGGUUACGUGCCAACUUUCCACACGCUAGCAUACGAUAGUAUGGCAGUCAAUAGCAUGAAUCCCACAAAAUUCAAGUGAUUAAAGCAUCCUGGAUUGCUCUUAGGCACAGAUGUAGGAACAGCUUACCCUCCCUGACUCAUGACCUUAAUCAUUAGCAGGGAAAAUUUUAAACUGAACUUAGAUCAGUGUCUAAGGGCAACUUCCUCCUACCUCUCAUGCCUGGCCCUCACCUGUGAGGCAUCUGAUUUGCUCCCUCAUGUUGUCCAUCUCUCGCUGCAUGCUCAGCACCAUGGCAACCAGGUCAGCCUUUGAACGUGACUGUAGGCCUCCAAGACCCUUUAGAGACAUUAAGAAGUCAAAAAGUCAUACAUUGAAAGUCUAAGCCACAUGCACGCACGCACGCACGCACUCACACACAUGCACUCACACACACACACGUGCACUCACACGCACUCACACCGCCAUCAGCCAGUGUACCUCUGCCAUGAAGUCACCCUCCUCUAUGCGUUCCACACUGGGGUUGUCAGACACUGGUACCUGUUUGGAGAUAAGAAAUCACUCAUAUACAUUGUCUCACUUGUAUGUAAUUGUCACAGUGUUUUUUAUUUUAUUUAUUAUAUUAUGUAUAGUCAGCUAUGGUCUGCUAUGGUGAAAAAUCAUAGCCAGGUUGAAACAUCAGAAAAUCCCUGUGACGAUACCCUAUUCUUCUUCAUAAAUUAUUUUGUCUUGACAAAAAGUAAAUAAAGUUUCAUUGUCAAGCUAUGAUUCAGCAUCCUUCCUUUAUUUAGGAGUAGCAACAACAUGUUACUUGUUGCUGUCUUGGCUUGUCGUUCUUUUCACCACCUCACCUUGCCAAAGGCUUGUGCUCUCCUCCUCUCCGUCAUUGAGAUCAAUGGCUGCCCUCAUCAUGCCCCUCUCUCACAUAAGCGCCAUUAGGACAAAACACAGCUGAGAGGUGAAUGCUCUCUGUGCCACGACUACUACAACCUUGUGGUUCCAAGUUGUAACCCCUUAAGUGAGGAGGUGGGGUCCUAUAUUACUAACGUACAAACUGGAUUUAUGUCGGUCGGUCAACAUGCGAAUAUGAUGGCACCACAAUGAGCAGACGCGUGCCAACCCCGACAGAUAAUAGAGAAAACUUUCGUCGCAAAGAAAUAUGAUAUAUUAAUAGUCGACCCAAACCCUUGUUUUCAACUUCUGGAGAGCGAUGUUGCAUGGUGGAUUCUCUUCUACGUUCUCAUUCACCGGUUUUGAUGUCUUCACUAACCCACCUGGACAAGAGGAAUACCUAUGUAAGUAUGCUGUUCAUCGACUAC